AAGCAGUGGAGCAUGUGGUUUAAUUCGAAGCAACGCGAAGAACCUUACCAGGUCUUGACAUCCUUUGACCACCCAAGAGAUUGGGCUUCCCCUUCGGGGGCAAAGUGACAGGUGGUGCAUGGUUGUCGUCAGCUCGUGUCGUGAGAUGUUGGGUUAAGUCCCGCAACGAGCGCAACCCUUGAUCUUAGUUGCCAGCAUUGAGUUGGGCACUCUAAGGUGACUGCCGGUGACAAACCGGAGGAAGGUGGGGAUGACGUCAAAUCAUCAUGCCCCUUAUGACCUGGGCUACACACGUGC
RNAcentral lists this ribosomal RNA (297 nucleotides) under Shouchella clausii. RNAcentral describes it as "Bacillus clausii partial 16S ribosomal RNA". It matches the Rfam family "Bacterial small subunit ribosomal RNA", at positions 927 to 1225 of the family's 1533-position model. Lineage: Bacteria; Bacillati; Bacillota; Bacilli; Caryophanales; Bacillaceae. The record is from RNAcentral.